UACGGAGGGAGCUAGCGUUGUUCGGAAUUACUGGGCGUAGAGCGCACGUAGGCGGCUUUGCAAGUUAGAGGUGAAAGCCCGGGGCUCAACUCCGGAAUUGCCUUUAAAACUGCAUCGCUAGAGUUGUGGAGAGGUAAGUGGAAUUCCGAGUGUAGAGGUGAAAUUCGUAGAUAUUCGGAAGAACACCAGUGGCGAAGGCGACUUACUGGACACAUACUGACGCUGAGGUGCGAAAGCGUGGGGAGCAAACAGG
Molecule: ribosomal RNA, 253 nt
Filed under: uncultured bacterium
Lineage: Bacteria
Description: partial 16S ribosomal RNA
Rfam family: Bacterial small subunit ribosomal RNA
Source: RNAcentral